CGGCGAGUGAAGCGGCAAAAGCUCAAAUUUGAAAUCUGGCACCUUCGGUGUCCGAGUUGUAAUUUGAAGAAGGUAACCUUGGGGUUGGCUCUUGUCUAUGUUUCUUGGAACAGAACGUCACAGAGGGUGAGAAUCCCGUGCGAUGAGAUGCCCAAUUCUAUGUAAGGUGCUUUCGAAGAGUCGAGUUGUUUGGGAAUGCAGCUCUAAGUGGGUGGUAAAUUCCAUCUAAAGCUAAAUAUUGGCGAGAGACCGAUAGCGAACAAGUACAGUGAUGGAAAGAUGAAAAGAACUUUGAAAAGAGAGUGAAAAAGUACGUGAAAUUGUUGAAAGGGAAGGGUAUGAGAUCAGACUUGGUGUUUUGCAACCUUACUCUCGGGUGGGGCCCCUGCAGUUCAUCGGGCCAGCAUCAGUUUGGAUAGUAGGAUAAUGGCAUUGGAAUGUAGCUUGGCUUCGGUUAAGUGUUAUAGCCUUUGUUGAUACUGCUUGUCUAGACUGAGGACUGCGUCUUUGACUAGGAUGCUGGCAUAAUGAUCCUAUACCGCCCGUCUUGAAACACGGACCA
RNAcentral lists this ribosomal RNA (562 nucleotides) under [Candida] sp. 4p-2. RNAcentral describes it as "eukaryotic LSU rRNA". It matches the Rfam family "Eukaryotic large subunit ribosomal RNA", at positions 87 to 668 of the family's 3401-position model. The record is from RNAcentral. Lineage: Eukaryota; Fungi; Ascomycota; Saccharomycetes; Saccharomycetales.